CUGGUUGAUCCUGCCAGAGGUCACUGCUAUCGGGGUUCGAUUAAGCCAUGCGAGUCGAGAGGGUUCAGACCCUCGGCGGACUGCUCAGUAACACGUGGAUAACCUGCCCUAAGGUGGAGCAUAACCCCGGGAAACUGGGGAUAAUACUCCAUAGGUUAGAGAUACUGGAAAGUUCUUUAAUCAAAAGUUCCGGCGCCUUAGGAUGGAUCUGCGGCCGAUUAGGUAGUUGUUGGGGUAACGGCCCAACAAGCCUGUAAUCGGUACGGGUUGUGGGAGCAAGAGCCCGGAGAUGGAAUCUGAGACACGAUUCCAGGCCCUACGGGGCGCAGCAGGCGCGAAAACUUUACAAUGCAGGAAACUGUGAUAAGGGAACCCCGAGUGCCCGUAUACGCGGGCUGUCCGGGUGUAUAAAAAGCAUCUGAAGAAAGGGCCGGGCAAGACCGGUGCCAGCCGCCGCGGUAAUACCGGCGGCUCGAGUGGUGACCACUUUUAUUGGGCUUAAAGCGUUCGUAGCUGGACUCUUAAGUCUCUUGGGAAAUCCCGCGGCUCAACCGUGGGGCGUUUAAGAGAUACUGGGAGUCUAGGAACCGGGAGAGGUAAGAGGUACUUCGGGGGUAGAAGUGAAAUUCUGUAAUCCUCGAGGGACCACCGAUGGCGAAGGCAUCUUACCAGAACGGCUUCGACAGUGAGGAACGAAAGCUGGGGGAGCGAACGGGAUUAGAUACCCCGGUAGUCCCAGCCGUAAACGAUGCGCGUUAGGUGUACUGGUGACCACGAGUCACUGGGGUGCCGAAGGGAAACCGUGAAACGUGCCGCCUGGGAAGUACGGUCGCAAGGCUGAAACUUAAAGGAAUUGGCGGGGGAGCACCAC
This 871-nucleotide ribosomal RNA is filed under the name uncultured archaeon. Its description in RNAcentral is "bacterial SSU rRNA". It matches the Rfam family "Archaeal small subunit ribosomal RNA", at positions 4 to 882 of the family's 1478-position model. The record is from RNAcentral.